RNAcentral lists this unclassified non-coding RNA (1337 nucleotides) under Hevea brasiliensis (rubber tree). Lineage: Eukaryota; Viridiplantae; Streptophyta; Magnoliopsida; Malpighiales; Euphorbiaceae. The record is from RNAcentral.
AAUUCAUGCAAAAAAAUUCCUUGCCAUGGUCCAAAAUCAACAUCAAACUGCUGUCAAAAGAAUGAGAAGCGAUAAUGGACCUGAGUUUCUAUGUAAAGACUUAGUUACUCAUUUUCAAGCCUUAGUUAUUAUUCAAGAAAAUUCUUGUUCUUACACACCACAACAAAAUGGUGUGGUUGAAAGGAAACACAAACAUAUUCUUGAGAUUGCUAAAGCCCUUAAAUUUCAAGCUUCCUUUCCUCUUUCUCUUUGGGGGGAUUGCAUUUUUGCAGCCACAUACAUGUUAAAUAGAUUGCCCACUCCUAUUUUGCACUUUGCAGAACAAAACUCCUUUUGAACAACUUUAUGGUCAUCCACCUAAUUUGUCCCAUAUGAAGGUCGUAGGUUGCUUGUGCUAUGCUACUGUCACGCAUUGUCAUAAAGAUAAGUUUACUACUAGAACCACCAAGUGUGUUGUCAUAGGAUAUUCUCAUGCACAAAAAGGGUAUUUGUUAUACGAUUUAGCUACUCAUCAUACAUUUGUUUCUAGAGAUGUGAUAUUUCAUGAAACCAUUUUUCCAUUUCAAUUUGUUUUUGCAUCAUCUGAACCUAUUCUUUCUAUUCAUUUUGUUGAUCCUGUUGUUCUUAAUGAUCCUUUGUCUUAUGUAAUUCCAUUUCAUUAUGUUAUGCCUUCCAAUAAUUUUGCUGAAUAAUCAGUUUCUUCUGAUUAUCUAGUUCAUUCUCAGUCCAAUGCAUUAGAAAAUAAUUCCAUUAUUCUAGAGUCAUCUUUGUCUUUAAGAAGGUCAACAAGACUCUCUAAACCUCCAAUUUGGCUCAAUGACUGUACUUGCAAUGUGGUUGCUUCUCAAUCUACACAAAUUUUCCCUAGUUCAAGUUCCAAUUCUCUUCUCAAUUCUCAUUCUCAUAUUCCUUAUUCUCUUUCUUCAUUUUACACUUCAACCAAUGUUAUCAAGCCUUUCUCACUCACAUUGAUUCUGAAAAAGAACCAAAUGCUUAUACCGAAGCUUAUUUCUACUCCAAAAUGGAUUGAGGCAAUGCAAGAUGAACUUGUUGCCUUGGAAAGGAAUGGGACCUAGACCUUGAAUACUCUUCGCCCUGGUAAGAUAGCUAUAGGGUGUAAAUGAGUCUACAAAAUUAAGCAUAGAAGUGAUGGGACUAUUGAGAGGUAGAAGACUCGCUUAGUGGCGAAGGGUUACACACAAAACGAAGGGAUAGAUUUUCAUGAGACAUUUUCUCCAGUUGCUAAAAUAUACACUGUCAGAACUUUGUUAGCUAUUGCAGCUGUUAAGGGUUGGCCUUUAGUUCAAAUGGAAGUGAAUAAUGCUUUCUUGAAUAGA